GACGAACGCUGGCGGCGUGCCUAAUACAUGCAAGUAGAACGCUGAAGGAGGAGCUUGCUUCUCUGGAUGAGUUGCGAACGGGUGAGUAACGCGUAGGUAACCUGCCUGGUAGCGGGGGAUAACUAUUGGAAACGAUAGCUAAUACCGCAUAAUAGUAGAUGUUGCAUGACAUUUGCCUAAAAGGUGCAAUUGCAUCACUACCAGAUGGACCUGCGUUGUAUUAGCUAGUUGGUGGGGUAACGGCUCACCAAGGCGACGAUACAUAGCCGACCUGAGAGGGUGAUCGGCCACACUGGGACUGAGACACGGCCCAGACUCCUACGGGAGGCAGCAGUAGGGAAUCUUCGGCAAUGGACGGAAGUCUGACCGAGCAACGCCGCGUGAGUGAAGAAGGUUUUCGGAUCGUAAAGCUCUGUUGUAAGAGAAGAACGAGUGUGAGAGUGGAAAGUUCACACUGUGACGGUAUCUUACCAGAAAGGGACGGCUAACUACGUG
RNAcentral lists this ribosomal RNA (495 nucleotides) under uncultured bacterium. RNAcentral describes it as "partial 16S ribosomal RNA". It matches the Rfam family "Bacterial small subunit ribosomal RNA", at positions 28 to 507 of the family's 1533-position model. The record is from RNAcentral.